This 426-nucleotide unclassified non-coding RNA is filed under the name Thamnosma africana. RNAcentral's name for it is "contains 5' external transcribed spacer, ETS". Lineage: Eukaryota; Viridiplantae; Streptophyta; Magnoliopsida; Sapindales; Rutaceae. The record is from RNAcentral.
UGGAUGGAGUGGGUUGGCAGGCUCCGUGCUCGCGCAUCGAACUGUUGWCCGUCCGUCCUCUUCAGUCUUUCCCCAAGCUCUCUUGCCUUGUGGGUGCAUAAGGUAUCCUGUGUUGCUUACCAACGAAAAGGAAUUCGUUUGUCCCGUUGCCCAUGUCCGCCUUGUGCCUUUCGGGGCGCGGGGUGGACUCAAGGCGGUUCUGUGUUCCCGGCAUGCCUCUGCUCGAGUCAUUGGCUGCCGCGGCCCAUGGGGUCUUCGCCCGUUCUCUUGGAUGCGGAAAGCAAAGCGUGGACGUGAGGUCUCAUCCUCAUUUCGUCCAAGCCAACGCACUGUCCUCGGACAGAUUCGGACGACUGCUGCGCCCGUCUUGCCAGCGGCCCCUAGGGGGCGGYUCAUGCGGGCGUCGGCGUCGGRAAAGAAUGCUAC